UUGAAUAUAACUAUCUCUCAUUUAGUGUUAAAAAAUCUGCGUUUGCUGCUUCAUGUUAUAAUUUUCAUUUAAGAAAAGGAAACAAAAACUUUUUUCUCUAAAAGGCAUACUUUGAGAAUAUUAAAAAAGAAACAAGGUAUAAAGGUAUGAACAUGUCACCUACAAAAACAACGGUUUCAACGAAUACAUCACUGAUAUGGAAAAUUGCCGCCGUUUUCUUUCUGUGUACUACAUUAAUAUUCGUCAGUCUGUUUGUUUGGAGUGAAUUAAAAGGAGACACAGAUUCUGGAAAUCAAGUAACGCCAUGUUUUAGAUCUCAAUGCGAAAACGAUGGGAUUUGUUCGGUGACUGGUAAUAGCUUUUCCUGCAACUGUUUAAACGGUUAUUCCGGUUCAAACUGCGAAAUAAACAAUGGGUGGUUGGAUUGAUGUUAUGUGAUCCAGUGGCAAGUUAAGUGCAGGAAGAGGACAUGAUACUCAGAUAUACAUACAAUGUAAUAAACAUAUUUUGUAUAGAACUAGACCAAUAAUGCACUGGGCUCCUUUUGCACAUGCUAGUUCACCACAAGGAGAGAAUCUGCUAUAAGACAUGUCCCCCUACAUGAGCAGGUACCUUCAGACUGAACAGUGUAUGUUUUUCU
Mytilus trossulus (common blue mussel) is the source of this 640-nucleotide long non-coding RNA. RefSeq lists it as uncharacterized. The transcript is spliced from 5 exons. Lineage: Eukaryota; Metazoa; Mollusca; Bivalvia; Mytilida; Mytilidae. The record is from RefSeq and is a predicted model, not a curated record.